RNAcentral lists this ribosomal RNA (119 nucleotides) under Pteropus alecto (black flying fox). The record is from RNAcentral. Lineage: Eukaryota; Metazoa; Chordata; Mammalia; Chiroptera; Pteropodidae.
GUCUACGGCCAUGCUACCCUGAACAAGCCCGAUCUCAUCUGAUCUCGGAAGCUAAGCAUGGUCAGGCCUGGUUAGUACUUGGAUAGGAGACCACCUAGGAAGACCAGGUGCUGUAGGCA